RNAcentral lists this ribosomal RNA (351 nucleotides) under Triticum aestivum (bread wheat). Its description in RNAcentral is "partial small subunit ribosomal RNA". Lineage: Eukaryota; Viridiplantae; Streptophyta; Magnoliopsida; Poales; Poaceae. The record is from RNAcentral.
AUGGCAAUUGUUGGUGCAUAUUCAGAUGUGCUUGCCGUUGAUAUGGUUGGGGGUUUAGUUGUUGGAGCUGUAUCUGAACACUUAGGAGGGAUUUGCGCGGUGGAGACAGCUAUCCAUUUGUGCGGUCAUUGGAUUAGUAAACAGAGAGGGGGGAGGGAGGGAGCAAUGGACAAGAAGGCAACAAAGAUGAAGAUGCUCUCGUCGGCAGCGGCUUUCGUGGAGGGUGGCGUGCAGGACACCUUCGACGACGCCUGCAUCAUCUGCCUUGAGGCCUUCUGCGACAGCGAGCCCUCCGAUAGCGACCUCUCUCUUGCGGAUGUUACAAGCUGCAAGCAUGAUUUCUAUCUCUAG